Molecule: non-coding RNA, 2998 nt
Organism: Triticum urartu
Lineage: Eukaryota; Viridiplantae; Streptophyta; Magnoliopsida; Poales; Poaceae
Source: RefSeq, a predicted model, not a curated record
ACUCCCAUGCCUCAACGAAAAAGAACCAGCGAAAAAACCUACGAAAUAAAACCUACGAAGAAAAACAAUGAAAAAAAAGCAGGCGACUCGCACGCACGAGCGAGAGUGCCCUCGAGCGAGGCCUCCAGAUUUCGCCGCCGCUCUCGCACUUGCCGUCGCCGAUGCCUGCGCUACCUCGACGGAAGCCAUCGCAAAUCCAUCCCUUCGCCGCCGCCCUCGCGCUCGCAUCAAGGAUCGAGGACUCCAGAGUGCCCUAAAUCCCUGCGCUACCUCCGUUCGUCGCCGCCGAUCUCGUCGCUACGUCGCUCGCCACGGGCAGGGAUCGGCGUCUCGCCGGCGUGGAGCGUGGCAGGGGAGAGAAGGGUGGGUAAGAUCGGCGGGGCAGAGUUCAUCCGGAAGGACGGCGCGGUGGACGACAUGUACGGAUACCUCAACUACCUGUCCCUCGAGUAUGACUCGUCUCGGACACCAAUCCUGCUUGGGUAUUUUCAAGGUCCAUGCUUCAAAUAUAAAUAAGAUUUUGUCCUUCUAUCUGAAACUUGAUCUUCUGCUUAUGUUUGCAUUUGCUAUCGAUGAUGUGAAUUUGAGCAAAUACCCCACAACGUUUUCACUGAGUUUGGAUAGCAUAUUUUAUGUAGGUUGGUGAGAAGCGAGGCCGACUCAUAUUUGAUGAAGAAUGAUGUGCAACCAGUAAGAAGAUUAGGAUGGGUAUUCCAGUAAUCCCGUGGAUUAGUCUCUAUAGUUGUUAGCAGCCUAUAAAGCAGAGGGUAUUCCCAUUUAGAAUAUGUUCGUGUGCAUCCACGGCCCCGCCCUCUCUGAAUUGGGGAAUUUCGACCUCCUCUGGCACGCAUGCACCCACGUACUGGAGCUCAUGAUGGAGCAGCACUAAGGCUGAUGCUGAGGGGGCACAUAUGGACAGCGCCGCCUUGCGUCUCAGCAACUCUAUGGCUCGCACCUUGAUUCGUUCGCUGACCUCCUCUGGCGCGCAUGCACCCACGUACUAGAGCUUAUGAAUGAGCAGCACUAAGGCUGAUGCUGAGGGGACACAUAUGGACAGCGCUGCCUCGCGUCUCAGCAGCUCUAUGGCUCGCACCUUGAUUUGUUCGUUGCCACACGCCUCAACUGCUUGGCGACGCGCACGAUUGGUGGAGCCACCUGCCACAUGACUUCGCAGUUCGCGCCUAUUUUGGUUCUUAAGGUUCAUGGCCAUGAUUUUUUUUUGGAAUGCAAAAUUUGGUGCGAGUUCAUAUGAAUCACACAAUGCUUCGCAUAAGUUGGUGCAGAUUUAAUCGGGAACUUUGGUAAUACAAAUCCCCCUCCAUUGCCUCUUUUCAUAGUCAGUCAUCGUUUCUAUUUCGAUUUUGGUAGCUAUGCCUAUCCUUGUUAUAGAUCAUAAGGUUGUCAUCUUCACAGAUCAUGAUAUAUAAGUGAUGCAAAAUGCAGACGACCCACAAUCUAUCUGAAACUAUUUAUCUACAGUUGUGUUCUUUUUGGGGUAUCUGAACAUGUCCUAAAGAUUUUGAAGAAAUGGAUAGCCAAAACGGUGGUGUCUUUGGCCAGAUGAUUUGACCAUCAUCUAUGAUCUGGAAGAAGAACCUCUCACACAAACAUGUAUAUUUAUUUGUGAAUCCAAUCAUAACCAGAAUGUAUUUGACCUUUUACAUUUUCCGACAGAAAGUAUGAGCACCUAAAUUUCUUGGAAUUCAGUAGCUCAUGUCUUGGAUACAUAGGUAUUCCAGUCACUCUAAAUUUCUGUAUGUUUUCGCAUAUAAUUGUCAACUUUUGUACUGCGCAUGCUCCCUUAUCUGUCUUCUCCAUGUUCUCCGGCUGGAAUAUAAUUUGAGAAGAGACUAAAAGUCUGUUUUCUCCAUGUGUACCAGCUCUGGAAGAUAAUUUGGGGAAGAGACUAGAAGUCAACAAAAUGUGUAUUGUGAUUCUGGUCUAAGAACAUUUUUUCUUGUAUAGCAUGUCUUGGAUGAGAAAGGUCGUGAGAACUUCAAUGAAUACUUCAGCACUGCCAACAGAUGCUGACAAAGAUGAAAAAACAUGAGGUUGCUGACAACAUUGAGUGUGACUUGCUUUUGGUGCUACUGCUACUGAAGACAAGCUCCAGAAAAAGGUACUAGAAUGCAUUGAAAAGCUCCCACAAGCAGGAAUUAAGUUCUGUGUGCUGACUGUGACAAAAUGGAUAGCUAUCAAUAUUGGAUAAUCAUCAUCCCGGAAGCACUUGCACCACUGCCUUGAGAAAAACAGAGUGAAAUAAUCUAUUGCCGAGUUGAACAGAUGAUCAAACUGCCUUUAUAUUUAAAAUUAUCGCCUAUGUAAUUUUUUUGGAUGAGUAUAUUUACAACAACCAUUCAUAAAUUUUACAAAAAGGAGUUCAACACAACAAACAUCCACAUUUGGAAUUCUACUCUAUGUAGUCAAAACCUUAAUAAUUACUUCUUAGUGGUUGAUCUCGGCAUGGGAGAGGGAGGGAGGGACGGUCUUUUAGUUUUACCAUUGAAAAAGUUUAUUUUUCUUGACCACCAUAAAAAGGUUAGCGAUCUUACAUUUUGACAUUUUUUUGCAAACCAUGUGGAUGGAAUUUAUUUCGUCAUAGGACAUACCUGUAAAUAUUGUGAAAGUUUACAUGAGAGGUAGGGUACUUAAAAUGGUAAAAGUGAUUGCUAUUUUUUCAAUAGCUUCAGAAGAACACGUAGGUUUUUUCAUGUUUGCAAAUCAUACAUGGGAUUUAUUUCUUGAGGAUAUUUGUUUUGCGAAAACAUGGGAUACUUUUUUCUUCUGACUACUAUUCUGAUUUAUGAAUGAUGGUUUUAAAUAAAUCAAAUUGCCAUAGCAGAUCGGUAGUUAAUAUUUAUGUAGCUUCAAGCUUUCUUUUCUUGUGCCUGAUGAUCGUAGUUGUUUGUGCAGCUUCAAGGUUUAUUUUCUUUUGCUUGAUGAUAGCAAGGUUGAGUAGAUUAUUGCCACACCCUGAUAUGGACGGUCGUCCUUGUAU